RNAcentral lists this ribosomal RNA (550 nucleotides) under Reticunassa silvardi. Its description in RNAcentral is "partial 12S ribosomal RNA". Lineage: Eukaryota; Metazoa; Mollusca; Gastropoda; Neogastropoda; Nassariidae. The record is from RNAcentral.
CGCGGUUAUACCAAGUGGUUAAGUUAUAUAUCUGGGUAAAAAGACAGUUAAGUAUAACAUGGACAGUUUAUUGAUCAUUUAUGUAAAAGUAAAAUUUGUAUAUGAAUAGUUAGUCUAAUAAUAACUAAUUACACUGAAGCCGUGAUAAUCAUGAGGGAAACUGGGAUUAGAUACCCCACUAUUCUUGAUUGUAAAUAUAAUUAAACUUACCAGAGUACUAUGAAUGGUUAAAAAUUUAAAACUCAAAGGGCUUGGCGGUGUUUUAGACCUAUCAGGGGAACCUGUCUCAUAAUCGACAAUCCGCGUUAUACCCAACCUUAUUUUGUCAUUCAGUUUGUAUACCGUCGUCGUCAGGUAACUUUUAAAAAUAUAGAAGUUAGCAACAAAAAUUAAAUAAAUUAAGACGUCAGAUCAAGGUGCAGCUUAUAAUAAGGGGAGGAUGGGUUACAGUUAUGAUAGUUAUAAUUACGGAAAUUUAAAUGAAAUUAUUUUUAGAAGGAGGACUUGAAAGUAAAACUAAAAAUAUAUAAAUAAAUUGAAUAAGGCUCUG